This 507-nucleotide ribosomal RNA is filed under the name Heterocephalobus elongatus. RNAcentral describes it as "SSU rRNA". It matches the Rfam family "Eukaryotic small subunit ribosomal RNA", at positions 88 to 590 of the family's 1831-position model. Lineage: Eukaryota; Metazoa; Nematoda; Chromadorea; Rhabditida; Cephalobidae. The record is from RNAcentral.
CGCGAAUGGCUCAUUACAACAGCUAACAAAUCUACUUGAUCUUGACACAAUCCUACUUGGAUAACCGUGGUAAUUCUAGAGCUAAUACAUGCAUUAAAGCUCUGACCUUCGGGGAAGAGUGCAUUUAUUAGAACAAAACCAAGCGGCUUCGGCUGUUUUCGGUUGACUCAUAGUAACUGAGCUGAUCGCAUGGUCUUGCACCGGCGACGUGUCUUUCGAGUAUCUGCCGUAUCAACUUUCGAUGGUAGUGUAUCUGACUACCAUGGUGAUCACGCGUAACGGAGAAUAAGGGUUCGACUCCGGAGAGUUCGCCUGAGAAAUCGCGAACACAUCUAAGGAAGGCAGCAGGCGCGAAAAUUACCCACUCUCAGCACGAGGAGGUAGUGACGAAAAAUAACGAGACCGUUCUCUUUCGAGGCCGGUCAUCGGAAUGGGUACAAUUUAAACCCUUUAACGAGUAUCUAUGAGAGGGCAAGUCUGGUGCCAGCAGCCGCGGUAAUUCCAGCU